This 292-nucleotide ribosomal RNA is filed under the name uncultured bacterium. RNAcentral describes it as "partial 16S ribosomal RNA". It matches the Rfam family "Bacterial small subunit ribosomal RNA", at positions 505 to 796 of the family's 1533-position model. The record is from RNAcentral.
GUGUCAGCCGCCGCGGUAAUACGUAGGGUGCGAGCGUUAAUCGGAAUUACUGGGCGUAAAGCGUGCGCAGGCGGUUCGUUGUGUCUGUGGUGAAAGCCCCGGGCUUAACCUGGGAAUGGCCAUGGAAACUGGCGGACUUGAGUGUGGCAGAGGGGGGUGGAAUUCCGCGUGUAGCAGUGAAAUGCGUAGAGAUGCGGAGGAACACCGAUGGCGAAGGCAGCCCCCUGGGCUAACACUGACGCUCAGGCACGAAAGCGUGGGGAGCAAACAGGAUUAGAAACCCGGGUAGUCC